GCGCAAUGUUGUUUGAGAUACCCUGAUUGGACAUCAUGAUGUGCAGGAACAAGCAUGAUGUCAGGAAAAGAAAACUUCAGUUAGAAACAAUUUUACUCCAUUGAGGACUAGUUGCUCUCCUGCACAUGAUGACAGGAGUAAAAUAUAAUUGACUUGUCAGAAGGUAUCCGGUUGGCCCCAGAAGGUAUAGUAUCAUCUCAGGAGAUCAAGAGUGGUCAUGCAUACCUCAAUGGGACAAAGUAUCUCCUCUGAGACUUCAGAAAAUCCUUUUCUUCUGGAGCCACUCUGUUCUGGAUUACCCUGAGAUUUUAAUGAGAUAAAGUCUAGAGAUGUAUAUAACUUUUCUGCAUCAUUUUGGAAUUUUAAUGAGAUGAAACGAGACCCAGAGACACCUGUUCUAGACCACUUUGGGAUCUUAAUGAGGAUGCAAACAGGUUGAAGACAAGAGCUCUCUUUAAUGGAACCUGAACAGUGCCUAACUCCUGUAGAUAUUCACUGAAUGUUAAAUAACAACAGUGAUCAUGUAAUAAUGAUGCCCAAUUCACUUGGGAGAGAAUACCAAAUAGCUUGGAAUUUUCCUGUUACUGCCAGCAUGGCCUGAGAGCAUCCUGAGAGAGGUCAAAAGUCCGUCUGACUCACCUGUGCUGAGUGACUUGAAUGCCAUCUAAUCUAACUUCAAGGUGACUGGAUAGAUUGUACAUGUGGUAAUAAAAUGCUAAUCGUAGUGUCAUAAUUUUAGAGAUUCAAGAAGAAAUUAUUAGAAACACAAAUUAAGAGCUUUAAUAUGCUCAUAUGUACCUGUGCAUAACUUUUUUUAAAGCACCUAGAAACUGCAAGUCAAUAAACAUUGUUUUCCCAUGCUGCCCUAUACUCAUCCAACCCAGCGAUGAUGAAAUGCAUACUGACAAGAGCAAUAAGAAAAAUAAUAACAUUAUCACAGGAUCAAUGUCUAUUGCUAGCUUCAUAAAGGACUUGGCUUCCCAUUGAUGUUUAAUUUUUGUAAAUGCCUCUGGAAAUUUAAGUAGCAGUAGGAAAACAUAAUGUUCAAUUUCUCCUAACAUAACCUCUUAAACUUUGGACGUGUGCAGUUUUCAGUCUGGGACAAAUUUAGGAGAACAAAUCUCUUUGAAACAGACUGGCAGAUUUAUUUUAAAUAAGCUUGCUUUAAGGCUACAGGUCUAGGAGACAGAAUCAUAGAAGAUGAUUGGAACAACGGGAGCUGAAAAAUCUUGGAAGCCUGCUUUUUCUGUGACUCGUUUUGGUGUAUACAUCAGCAUAAAGGGGAGAGUCUCCUCUAUCCAUGUCAUGGCUGAUGGUAGCAUCUGUGCCAAAUUUUAAGCACUAGGGGACAAGUUGGGAGGCUCCGAAAAGCUCACCUGUCUCAGAACACCACGAUAUCCUAGCAUUUUUGUUAUUCCUCCUUGCUCUACCUCAACUGCUCUGGCAUUGACUCAAAUUCCUGGAACUGCAUAAUCAGCAUCUGGACGAAUAAUAAAUGAACUCCUGCUAGCUCUACCAUAGGAGAAGCAUUAGAGUACUUUGAAGUCCUAGAACCUUCAUCUUCUUAGACUUAAGAGUGGUAUUUCUGAAACUUGAGCUUGCAUCAGACUCACCUAAGGCAUCAUGUUAAAACACUGAUUGCUGAACUCUACCCUGAUAGUUUUUGGUUCUGUAGUUCUAAGGCAGAGCUCAUUAAUUUGAGUUUCUAACCAGUUCCCAUAUGAUGCUGAUGCAACUUGUCCUGCAGACCAUACAUUGAGGACCGCUAGCCUAGAGUUCCCCUUUUUUGACCCAGAUGCUGGACUGUUGUAAGCCAACAGUUAGGUCUUUCUGAAAUCCAUGGGCUCAAGCAGGGGCAGAAAAUAUCCAGAUGCCAAAAGGAAGCUUAUUAUUUUAUAGGGACCUCUGCAGAGUGAGCGCCACACUUUGGCUGAAGAGUACAGUUUGUUCCUCACCAUGACCUUGGGGUCCCGUCCCAACUAAUCCAGAGCCAUGUGGGUUUGCAGAGACAGGCAUUCCUCCCAUAUUCUGGCCUCUGACCUGAAAUCUUCUAACUUGAGAAGAGAACAGUCACCUUCCUGGGAAUCUGAAAUAGAAAGGCAAAUUUGUGAAGGCCUUUCUGACAUCUGAAUGGCUGGAUUUGCAUUUGCUGUAGUGAUAACUCAGUGCCAUCCAGACCUGACAGUGAUGAACGAUGCUGGAUUCUGCUCAAAUUCCAUCAAAGCCUGCAGGGUGAAGACUCUGGUCCCUGAACCCAGUGUCCUCUGGCCCUUCCUGUCAAAGCAUUGGAGUGACAGGGAGACAUUUGAGAGGCAGUGAGGAGGAAGGACAGAGGCAUCAGGGUGGGUGUGGCAGCUUCCAUAUUUAGCAGAGAGAAGCAGAGAUGAGGGUAAGAUUAUGAGUGGGAGAGGAGGGAAGGUUAGAGAACAAUGGAAAAAUUUUCUUCUUCAGUGUAAGAAUUCUGGACCCUUAUUUGAAGUCUCUCCUGCUUUGUUGGGCAAAAGUAAUGAGAAACUCCACUUGGCUUCAGAAUGCAGUGUCAACUCCACAUGAAUCAAAGCAAUAAAAAAGAAUCAACUCAGAGCAGGCUGAGCUAUGUGAGGUAUGAAAACUUGAUCAGGGCCAGCGUGAGUAUGGGACUUCAGUCAUGCUCCCACUCCCUCACAGGACCCACACGGGUGGGGGGUGGGGGGAAUUGUUUAAAAGCAUUUAGUUCCUAACUAGCUGCCUCACCCAUUAUCUUCCGUUUCUUGUAAUUUAGGAAACAAAGAACAACAUAUAGCCAGAUCAAUAGCUUAUGUUAUUUUCAUAUGUUAAUUAUUGCUAAACAACUUAGGAACUGCCUUUUCUUUUAUUUCCUUUAAAAAUCCAUUUGUAACUGUUGCUGGUGGGACCGGACUACAUAUUCAGGAUAACUUUAAUCUGUGCUUUGAAGUUUCAAUCCUCAAGACUGGCCCAAAUAAACCCCCUACUUAUAUUAAUCUUGCCUCAGUUUCUUUCUUUUAGGUGGACAGUGGUGAGAGCAAUUAGGCUUUUUGCAGAAUUACUCAUUCUAAAUAUUCUUGCUUGUAUUAUAUUUUAGAUACAAAUUUUCCAGCUGUUAUUUUUCAAGUCAUUGCCUGCUUCACUGUGUCAAUUUCUAGUCUGCAGCCUUUGUAAGCAUUUGUUUCUUUGUUUCAACUGCUUCUUUUUCCUUUCCUGUUACUUCUCUGGCCCCCUGUUCUUUGUUCCUCUCUGAGGAAUGCAGAUCUCUGCUCCUC
This 3260-nucleotide long non-coding RNA is filed under the name Homo sapiens (human). RNAcentral describes it as "HSALNT0052881". The record is from RNAcentral. Lineage: Eukaryota; Metazoa; Chordata; Mammalia; Primates; Hominidae.